RNAcentral lists this ribosomal RNA (253 nucleotides) under uncultured bacterium. Its description in RNAcentral is "partial 16S ribosomal RNA". It matches the Rfam family "Bacterial small subunit ribosomal RNA", at positions 524 to 776 of the family's 1533-position model. The record is from RNAcentral.
UACGGAGGGUGCAAGCGUUAUCCGGAUUCACUGGGUUUAAAGGGUGCGUAGGUGGGCUAGUAAGUCCGUGGUGAAAUCUCCAAGCUUAACUUGGAAACUGCCGUGGAUACUAUUAGUCUUGAAUAUUGUGGAGGUAAGCGGAAUAUGUCAUGUAGCGGUGAAAUGCGUAGAUAUCGAGAGGAACACCUGCGGCGAAGGCGGGUUGCUGGGCUGACACUGACGCUGAUGCGCGAAAGCUAGGGGAGCGAACGGG